Humulus lupulus (European hop) is the source of this 537-nucleotide long non-coding RNA. RefSeq lists it as uncharacterized. The record is from RefSeq and is a predicted model, not a curated record. The transcript is spliced from 2 exons. NCBI's taxonomy places the organism in Eukaryota, Viridiplantae, Streptophyta, Magnoliopsida, Rosales, Cannabaceae.
UUAAAAAUUGAUCCAAUCAAAUUGAGUCAGAAGAGUGGCUUUACUGGCAUGUGCUCCUGAUAAACUGUUUCAGAUUUCUCUUUUGAAGUCUUGGUGACACCAGUGAUUUUACUCUCUUCCCUUGUUCGGGAUUGACAGCAAUGCCAACGAUCUCACUCUCCUCUUCUUCAUUUGUGCCUUGGCGAUACCGUCGAUCUCACUCUCUCCCCUUAGUUCGCGUUUGGCGGAGAUCACGACAGCCACUAGGAUCUUUGCACGGGGUACUUCUUCUUCAAGGUCCCACUAAAUCUGGCAUCUAUGAAUGGCAUCCCACUCGUCUUGCCGUUUACUCUGUCAAAUUGACAUCCACUACCGAUUAGCAUCAUAUAUUAGGCCACCCAUCCUACUCUAUUCUACGUCAUAUUAGCAAUGCUUUUAAUUUAAAUAUUCCAAAGACAAUUUCUUUUCACUCUAAUUCAUGUGAUUGUAAUAAGAGCCACAAAUUGUCAUUCCAUCAAAAUACCAUUCAAUCUCAUGACCCUCAGGGUGUUCUUUAUA